This 1307-nucleotide long non-coding RNA is filed under the name Nicotiana benthamiana. RNAcentral's name for it is "long non-coding RNA (NBEN_LNC031281)". The record is from RNAcentral. Lineage: Eukaryota; Viridiplantae; Streptophyta; Magnoliopsida; Solanales; Solanaceae.
AGAAAGACACAUGAAAGUGCUCUAUGUUUAGCUUAUCUCUCUGUGGAAUGGGGACAGUAGCAUAAGCAAGACAACCAAAUGCUCUUAAAUGUGACUAAUUAGGAGUCUUGCCAUAUGAUACUUCAUAAGGGGAUUUGUUUUGAAGAGUUCUGGAUGGUAUCCUAUUAAGUAUGUAUGUAGCAGUUAAUAAACAGUCCCCCCAAAAGGAUAUGGGCAACUUGGACUGGAAAAGUAAGGUUCUACAAGCUUCAAGAAGUGUUCUGUGUUUUCUUUCAACAACACCAUUUUGUUGAGGAGUGUGUGGACAGGUAGUUUGAAGGAUAAUACCCUGUUGGUUGAAGAAAGAAGUACCAUCAAGGCGAGACCCCAAUUACAAGGCAUUGUCACUUCUUAUAGUUUGGACAGUAGCACUAAACAGAGUUUUAACCAUAGACAGAAAGGACUUAAUCAUGCAAAGAGCAUUUCUCUAGACCCCAGUAGAUGUGUCCAGAUGGCCCUAGAAAAAUCAUCAACUAUUUUAAGAAAAUAUCUUGAGCCAUAGGAAUUUGGUGUGUGGUAAGGACCCCAAGUAUCUACAUGAAUUAAUUGGAAAGGUCUGCUUGUACUGAUAGAGUAUCAGGAAAAGGAAGCCUGGUUUGCCUAGCCAUAGGACAAAUAGAACAAGGAAAUGGUUGUUUAGAAGCAAAGGGAAAUGACAAAUCAGAAAUGUGUUUCAUAUUUGCAAAAGAGAUGUGAGCCAGUCUUAAAUGCCAAAUGAGAUUCAUGUCAUUUGCAGCAGCAUUAUUACAAAUGGAGCUAUUUACAUUUGAAGGUAAAGCAACAGUCUUAGAGCUAGAAGAACAAGCAGGAUUACAAGAAUUAGAAAAAGAAAACACAGAAACAGAUUUGCAACAAUUAGAAGAAGAAUGUGAAGGUGGCACCCAAGCAAGCUUGUACAGACCAGCCUUCUCUUUACCAAGAUCCAGAGGCAUCCUCAAAGAAGGGGCAUGUAACAUGUGAAGAAAGUAGGAAGUUGCAGUAAACAAGACUAUACAAUGCAACUGUUUUACUAGUUUGUGGACAGAGAUUAAGUUGUGUUGGAAAGAAGGAACAAACAACACAUUAUGAAGAGUGAUGAAUGGAGUUAAAUUAAAAGAUCAUGUGGAAGUCACUUUCACUUUGUAUCCAUUGGGAAGAGUUACAAGAUAAGGUAUAACUAAGGGUGUGAUCUGGUCGAUGGAGUUAAUGUAAAAGAUCUUGUGGAAGUCACUUUCAUUUUGUAUCCAUUGGGAAGAGUUACAAGAUAAGGUAUAGCUAAGGGUGUGAUA